GCAAGUGAUGAGAGUAUGUUCGAGUAUCUAAAUGUUGUCAGCAAGAUGUUUGAUAGUGAGGCUGAAGGCUAUGAAUUCUACAACAAAUAUGCUCUUGAAAAAGGUUUUAGUGUGAGGAAAAGCUACGUUGAGUGGGAUGGAUCCAACAAAUACAUAAUUUUAAGGAAAAUUGUGUGUAGUCGUCAAGGGUUUCGCGAAGAGAAGCACAUGAAAAGAAAGAUGGAAGAUAGAAAGAGGAGGCCACGAAGUUUAACUCGUGUUGGGUGUAAUGCUAAAUUGGUCAUUACGAGACAGGAGGAAACCGGUCGGUGGUUUGUCAAGGAUUUCAUCGAUGAGCACAGCCAUCCUCUAGCCCCACGGGAUCUUUCUUGUCUGCUGCGUUCGCACAGACGAAUUGGCGAUGAGCAGAAAGCGGACAUUGCGGACAUGGAAAAAUGUGGGAUCCGCAAAUACCGUAUUAUGGAUAUUUUGUGCUUUCAAUACGGUGGAUUUGAUAAGGUUGGAUGCAUAAAGAGGGACAUUUAUAAUUUCUGCCAUGCUAAUAAGCAGGAGACAAUCAGUGCCGGUGAUGCUAAUACGGUGAUCAUGCACAUGAUGGCGAGGCGAGAGCGAGAUGUGGAUUUUUUCUUCAAGUACUUGGUAGACGAGCAUGGCCAUCUGAAGGGACUGUUCUGGGCUGAUAGUCAAUCGCGACUUGACUACGAGGCUUUCGGAGACGUCAUUGUUUUCGAUAGCACAUACAGAACCAACAAAUACAAUCUGCCAUUCGUGCCGUUUGUCGGGUUGAAUCACCACCGGAGCACUGUCAUUUUUGGCUGUGGUAUAAUUUCUCAUGAAACAAGCCAGGCAUACGAGUGGAUGUUGCGGACCUUUUCUGAUUGCAUGGCACAGAAGCAUCCGAUAUCUGUGAUGACAAAUGGGGACAUUGCAAUGCAGAGAGCAAUCAGGGUGGUCUGGCCAGACUCAAACCAUAGACUAUGUAUAUGGCACAUUCAGCAGAACAUUGUAUGCCAUCUGCAUGAUGACGACGUAAAGGAGGAAUUUAGAUCUUUCAUUUAUGAUACUUCUUCCAUUGAAGAGCAUGAGAUAGAAUGGAUAUACUUCUUACAACGGAAUAAAGUAACCAGUGAGGAGUCUUGGCUGCAUCAGAUGUAUCAAAUGAGAAAGUUGUGGUGUGCUCCAUAUCUUGAGGGACGUUGUUUCCUAGGAUUGAGCAGCAAUCAGAGGAGUGAGAGCUUGAACUCUGUGCUACAUACGCAUCUUGAGGGUAAGAUGUCGUUGUUUGAAAUGCUAGAGCACUAUGAGCGUUGCCUUGCGUCGCGACGGAUUAACGAAGCUCUCCAUGACGUCGAAGCCUUGCAGUCCGUUCCAUUUACAGAGGAAAAUGCUUCGCCGCUUGAGAAACACGCCGCAACAGUUUUCACACCUAGUGUCUUUAAGAUGGUCUUAUGGAGCAUAGAUACUGUCAGCAAAUGUCAGAUCAGAGAGAUACUAGAUGGAUCAGAAGAUUCCACUUAUGUUGUGUCCAAGCAGGAAAGAAUGGAUAAAAAGUUUGGAGUGCGCAUUGAAGAGCAAGGAGGUCUUUUGCACAGGGUGAGUUGUUCUUGCCGUAAGCUGGAAUGCGCAGGCACACCAUGUUCCCACAUUUUUUACAUAUUGGGGAUUUUAAAACAAACAAUUCUGCCCAGUUGUUGCGUUCCCACUAGGUGGACUAUGAAUGCAAAAUGU
Molecule: ribosomal RNA, 1728 nt
Filed under: Triticum aestivum (bread wheat)
Lineage: Eukaryota; Viridiplantae; Streptophyta; Magnoliopsida; Poales; Poaceae
Description: partial small subunit ribosomal RNA
Source: RNAcentral